Molecule: ribosomal RNA, 351 nt
Filed under: Triticum aestivum (bread wheat)
Lineage: Eukaryota; Viridiplantae; Streptophyta; Magnoliopsida; Poales; Poaceae
Description: partial small subunit ribosomal RNA
Source: RNAcentral
AUGAGCAUUUGGCAAAAACUAGUUGCAGUCAUUGCUGAAACAGAACACUCAAAUCGGACGAUACAGGCUAAAGGCAUAGAGAUAGCGACGAAGACGCCAGAUCGUGCCAUCAGGAAAAAGAUAUCUAGGUGGUGGCUACAUGUAGACCCUCUCAUGCAACUCACGAUUAAGAAAGACAUUCUUGACAUCAAGCUGAGAGACAGAUCAGUGGCGAACAAAUAUCACAGCGAGAAGUGUGAGAAGAGUGGUCAUGUGGGCCAUAUGAGAAAAUGUUUCAUCUUAGUCAUAGCCAUGAUCCUGUUGAAAGCCACGGGUCACAAGAUGAGCUUUGUUACGCAAGAGAACCAUUAG